RNAcentral lists this long non-coding RNA (1181 nucleotides) under Equus asinus (donkey). Its description in RNAcentral is "lncRNA (ENSEASG00005031229.1)". The record is from RNAcentral. Lineage: Eukaryota; Metazoa; Chordata; Mammalia; Perissodactyla; Equidae.
GUUAACCCCAGUGACCAUGGGAAAAUGCUGCUGUCUGCUUCAGAGAGGCGAAGGGGAGUGGGCACAAGAUAACAAGAGGUGAAGAGGUCACAGUGGAAGCCCCUUUCAUCUUUUCAGGCUGUUUCCAACCCAGACAAAGGAGUCUGUCCAGGGGCGCAAGGCCCACGCGGCUUUAUUUUAUGGUCUGGGCCUGAAAGGGGUUUGGGAGGGCCGUGUCGUAUCUGGAUAUUGUUUUGGAGGCGAAUGCCUGGCUCCCGGGAAGUCCUCAGCUCCUGGGGGAAUGCUAAGUGGAAGGAAGGGCAAGCAGCCCCCGCUUCGGCGGAAGAGACCACCCAGCUACUCAAAGGCGAGUGUGAAGGGCUUGAAUGGAAUGAGCUGUCCUGCAGGAUUUAUCAUUCAGACUGUGAGACGAAGGGCGUGAGGCUGUUGAGCCGCUUCACAUCGGCGUAGCUCUAGCAUUUGCGGCAAAAGAGAAAAAGGAUUCAGGAUGCCAGAGACGCCUCCCGUGGCUGCUUUGGAGGAAGGGGAACAGAGCCCUGUGCCGCCCCCGCCUCCCCCAUCCGCUUUUCCUCAGCUUGCUUCGUUGAUUCCGUUUUAUUAGAAAAGUGGCAUAGCCACAUUAUCAAUAAUUGAAAGUCAACAACUCUCCAUUUCAUGCAAUCUGUGGCCUGAUUGCCUUUUGGGUGGAUUUCCCGUGGAUCUUUUUUCAAAUUAGAUAUAUAUAUAUAUAUCUUAACAUCCCUGUAGUGUACCUCCAAUUUUGCAUCGUGGUUUCCUCCCUGCCUACCCACCCCCGUAAUUCAAGGUGCUGGAUAUCUACUGUUUGCCCCUGCAGGUUCUCUCACCAACUGCCUUCCUCCUGCUCUGUGCUCCAGGAGGCUGCUGUGUGCCGUGUGCCCCUUUGCCCUCCCUGGGCUUCUGGUUGGGUUUGAGGGCUAUUUCAUCUCCGCCUCCCUCCUGUUCAGAUGGCCUCAGGCUAGCCUGAGUCCCUCCAUCAAAGGCCACAGCUCCUGUCUGGGGACCCUCUCCAUGUUGUUCUCUUUCCACGAUCCAGUAGGGCCCCGCUUACCCCUUCGGGCCUAGCCUGGAAAUGGAAACAGCUGCCCUCUGCUCUGAUGCUUUUCCAAACGCUGCCCACACCUUUGUCAAUAGCCCCUUUAUUAAACUCUCUUCAAAUUUCC